This is a non-coding RNA of Megalopta genalis, 1656 nucleotides long. Lineage: Eukaryota; Metazoa; Arthropoda; Insecta; Hymenoptera; Halictidae. The record is from RefSeq and is a predicted model, not a curated record.
AACUCGUCGUGCACACUGCACGAAGAUUUUCCAGUCACGAGUUAACUUGUUAUUCUCGAUUAACAGGUUGAGUAGACGAAGAAGAAGAAGAAGAAGAAGAAAUAGGAGAAAAAGGAGAGGAAGAGCUCGGCCCUCACCGACUGCAUGUUUUUCAGGAUGUCUGCGGCCACGGUCAUAGCUUGGCUAAACGCUCUUGUCGCGACGAACGAUCUCUUGAUCUGGACGCCCAGUUUCUGCGGGACGUCGCCGAACGGCCUCAUCUCUUUCAUACUUUCGCCCACGCACUCCAGAUACUUGUUGUCGAAAUCGUAUUGGCUGUUCAGAACGGUGAACAUCUUCAGGUAGAGAGUGUUGAAGAAGUUGUCCAUGGCAUCAUUCAAGUUAACCUGAAACAAUAAUUCGGCGCUUGGUCGAUCAAGUUUGAAAAGACAAUCGAGAUUCAUCUCAUUUAUAGGGUAAGGUGUUCGCAAGUACCAUAGAUGGACAAAGAUCCGCCAGAUCAAUGAUUAGGGAAAUGAACUCUGUUUCAACGUCGGUCUCGAGGUCGCAUUAAACGGAAAAAAAUAAGUAUCUCGGAUAAUGAACGCAGGCAAAAUAAUUCUUCAGCAUCGCGUCGAACACUCGAGACGUACGAAGUAUUACCGCUGAUCGAUCGAAAAAGGGGAAACAAAGAAGUAUAGUCCGAGGAUUAUCCAUUCAUAGAUAUUUCCCCCGGUAUAGUUUUCCAUCCUGGCCAAUAUUCGAGAGCGCACCGAUCGAAGGAAUAAUCCGACGGCCGUAUUAUCGAGUCGUCGUGGCAUGGAAACGUGGGGAAGUAUAAUAAAAAAGAAAAAAAAGGAGAGAGAAACAAGGAAACGAUGAAUCCUCGAUAAAUACGAAUUCUCCUGUUCCGCGAGACGGGACGCAAUGUACAGGGUGGCCCCUUAGUAAUACCUAACGCAUACGCGUAUGCACAAUCGGCAUCGAUCGAACAGACGUGGAAAAUAAAGGUAGAAAACGCAAACUUACCGUCCCUUUGGCGUAAUAAUUCUCCAGUUCCUUGUACAGAUCCGUGAAGACGUACGAGUUCUGCUCGUAAAGCAUGCCGUAAGUUUUCUUGAACAUCUCGUGGAAGCUCCUCUUGCUGUCAGUCAGCAGAAGUUUGAAGAAACCUGGAAAAAGAAGGAAGAGAAACCUUAUCGGUGAUCGCAGGGACCUCGAUACGGACGCGUGAAUGGAAACCAAUUCGCCGGAAAUCGCGAUUGCAACUAUUAUCCUGCGGGUUAAACUUUGAAAAAUCCUGCAUACAUUUAAAUAAGAAUCCUUGUUGCAUCGUGUUUCGGGUCUGUGUGACUCGAAUCGAGUAACCAGGUUACGGAUUGAGUUAUGUUACCCUAUCUCAAAGGGUUAACCCGCUUUCUAGACAAUUUGAGAGCCGUUCUCCCACUGGUUACUCGUGGCCUGCUGUAACCUGCCUCGGUUAACAAGGUUAAGGUUAGGUAACGAUUAGUGUUCCUGAAACGAAGCUGUCGUAAGUCUGAUGGGCCAAUGAGACGAUUAAGAUGGCUCGCGACAUUCUAACACCAAAAAUGGUGUCGGGAAAUAAAGAGAAAUUAUGAAAAAGAAGAACUACCAUGCGAUUAUCAUGAGAAAAAAUUUGAUACAUAGACUGUGAAU